This 107-nucleotide transfer RNA is filed under the name Candidatus Bathyarchaeota archaeon. RNAcentral's name for it is "tRNA-Gln". It matches the Rfam family "tRNA". From Rfam's summary of the family: Transfer RNA (tRNA) molecules are approximately 80 nucleotides in length. Their secondary structure includes four short double-helical elements and three loops (D, anti-codon, and T loops). Lineage: Archaea; Thermoproteati; Candidatus Bathyarchaeota. RNAcentral also lists the same sequence under 2 other names. The record is from RNAcentral.
AGCCCGGUGGUGUAGUGGACAAGCAAGGACUGCCCUGGUGACAGGCUUCCCUUGAGUAGCGGGCUUUGGACCCGCAGACGGGAGUUCGAAUCUCCCCCGGGCUACCA